GGAGCGUUCUGUAAGCCUGCGAAGGUGUGCUGUGAGGCAUGCUGGAGGUAUCAGAAGUGCGAAUGCUGACAUAAGUAACGAUAAAGCGGGUGAAAAGCCCGCUCGCCGGAAGACCAAGGGUUCCUGUCCAACGUUAAUCGGGGCAGGGUGAGUCGACCCCUAAGGCGAGGCCGAAAGGCGUAGUCGAUGGGAAACAGGUUAAUAUUCCUGUACUUGGUGUUACUGCGAAGGGGGGACGGAGAAGGCUAUGUUGGCCGGGCGACGGUUGUCCCGGUUUAAGCGUGUAGGCUGGUUUUCCAGGCAAAUCCGGAAAAUCAAGGCUGAGGCGUGAUGACGAGGCACUACGGUGCUGAAGCAACAAAUGCCCUGCUUCCAGGAAAAGCCUCUAAGCAUCAGGUAACAUCAAAUCGUACCCCAAACCGACACAGGUGGUCAGGUAGAGAAUACCAAGGCGCUUGAGAGAACUCGGGUGAAGGAACUAGGCAAAAUGGUGCCGUAACUUCGGGAGAAGGCACGCUGAUAUGUAGGUGAAGUCCCUUGCGGAUGGAGCUGAAAUCAGUCGAAGAUACCAGCUGGCUGCAACUGUUUAUUAAAAACACAGCACUGUGCAAACACGAAAGUGGACGUAUACGGUGUGACGCCUGCCCGGUGCCGGAAGGUUAAUUGAUGGGGUCAGCGCAAGCGAAGCUCUUGAUCGAAGCCCCGGUAAACGGCGGCCGUAACUAUAACGGUCCUAAGGUAGCGAAAUUCCUUGUCGGGUAAGUUCCGACCUGCACGAAUGGCGUAAUGAUGGCCAGGCUGUCUCCACCCGAGACUCAGUGAAAUUGAACUCGCUGUGAAGAUGCAGUGUACCCGCGGCAAGACGGAAAGACCCCGUGAACCUUUACUAUAGCUUGACACUGAACAUUGAGCCUUGAUGUGUAGGAUAGGUGGGAGGCUUUGAAGUGUGGACGCCAGUCUGCAUGGAGCCGGCCUUGAAAUACCACCCUUUAAUGUUUGAUGUUCUAACGUGGACCCGUGAUCCGGGUUGCGGACAGUGUCUGGUGGGUAGUUUGACUGGGGCGGUCUCCUCCUAAAGAGUAACGGAGGAGCACGAAGGUUGGCUAAUCCUGGUCGGACAUCAGGAGGUUAGUGCAAUGGCAUAAGCCAGCUUGACUGCGAGCGUGACGGCGCGAGCAGGUGCGAAAGCAGGUCAUAGUGAUCCGGUGGUUCUGAAUGGAAGGGCCAUCGCUCAACGGAUAAAAGGUACUCCGGGGAUAACAGGCUGAUACCGCCCAAGAGUUCAUAUCGACGGCGGUGUUUGGCACCUCGAUGUCGGCUCAUCACAUCCUGGGGCUGAAGUAGGUCCCAAGGGUAUGGCUGUUCGCCAUUUAAAGUGGUACGCGAGCUGGGUUUAGAACGUCGUGAGACAGUUCGGUCCCUAUCUGCCGUGGGCGCUGGAGAACUGAGGGGGGCUGCUCCUAGUACGAGAGGACCGGAGUGGACGCAUCACUGGUGUUCGGGUUGUCAUGCCAAUGGCACUGCCCGGUAGCUAAAUGCGGAAGAGAUAAGUGCUGAAAGCAUCUAAGCACGAAACUUGCC
Molecule: ribosomal RNA, 1581 nt
Filed under: Shigella sonnei
Lineage: Bacteria; Pseudomonadati; Pseudomonadota; Gammaproteobacteria; Enterobacterales; Enterobacteriaceae
Description: partial 23S ribosomal RNA
Rfam family: Bacterial large subunit ribosomal RNA
Source: RNAcentral